GGAUUCCCCUAGUAACUGCGAGUGAAGCGGGAAAAGCUCAAAUUUAAAAUCUGGCAGCCUUUGGUUGUCCGAGUUGUAAUCUAGAGAAGUGUUAUCCGCGCUGGACCGUGUACAAGUCUCCUGGAAUGGAGCGUCAUAGAGGGUGAGAAUCCCGUCUUUGACACGGACUACCCAGGGCUUUGUGAUGCGCUCUCAAAGAGUCGAGUUGUUUGGGAAUGCAGCUCAAAAUGGGUGGUAAAUUCCAUCUAAAGCUAAAUAUUGGCGAGAGACCGAUAGCGAACAAGUACCGUGAGGGAAAGAUGAAAAGAACUUUGGAAAGAGAGUUAAACAGUACGUGAAAUUGCUGAAAGGGAAACGCUUGAAGUCAGUCGCGUUGUCCAGGGAUCAACCUUGCUUUUGCUUGGUGCACUUUCUGGUUGACGGGUCAGCAUCAAUUUUGACUAUUGGAAAAAGAUUAGGGGAAUGUGGCAUCUUUGGAUGUGUUAUAGCCCUUGGUUGCAUACAAUGGUUGGGAUUGAGGAACUCAGCACGCCGCAAGGCCGGGUUUUUAACCACGUACGUGCUUAGGAUGCUGGCAUAAUGGCUUUAAUCGACCCGUCUUGAAACACGGACCAAGGAGUCUAACAUGCCUGCGAGUGUUUGGGUGGAAAACCCGAGCGCGUAAUGAAAGUGAAAGUUGAGAUCCCUGUCGUGGGGAGCAUCGACGCCCGGACCAGACCUUUUGUGACGGUUCCGCGGUAGAGCAUGUAUGUUGGGACCCGAAAGAUGGUGAACUAUGCCUGAAUAGGGUGAAGCCAGAGGAAACUCUGGUGGAGGCUCGUAGCGAUUCUGACGUGCAAAUCGAUCGUCAAAUUUGGGUAUAGGGGCGAAAGACUAAUCGAACCAU
This 886-nucleotide ribosomal RNA is filed under the name Cortinarius sp. PDD 106494. RNAcentral describes it as "partial large subunit ribosomal RNA". It matches the Rfam family "Eukaryotic large subunit ribosomal RNA", at positions 72 to 943 of the family's 3401-position model. Lineage: Eukaryota; Fungi; Basidiomycota; Agaricomycetes; Agaricales; Cortinariaceae. The record is from RNAcentral.